UAGGGAAUCUUCGGCAAUGGACGAAAGUCUGACCGAGCAACGCCGCGUGAGUGAAGAAGGUUUUCGGAUCGUAAAACUCUGUUGUUAGAGAAGAACAAGGACGUUAGUAACUGAACGUCCCCUGACGGUAUCUAACCAGAAAGCCACGGCUAACUACGUGCCAGCAGCCGCGGUAAUACGUAGGUGGCCAGCGUUGUCCGGAUUUAUUGGGCGUAAAGCGAGCGCAGGCGGUUUCUUAAGUCUGAUGUGAAAGCCCCCGGCUCAACCGGGGAGGGUCAUUGGAAACUGGGAGACUUGAGUGCAGAAGAGGAGAGUGGAAUUCCAUGUGUAGCGGUGAAAUGCGUAGAUAUAUGGAGGAACACCAGUGGCGAAGGCGGCUCUCUGGUCUGUAACUGACGCUGAGGCUCGAAAGCGUGGGGAGCAAACAGG
Molecule: ribosomal RNA, 429 nt
Filed under: Gemmatimonadota bacterium
Lineage: Bacteria; Pseudomonadati; Gemmatimonadota
Description: Gemmatimonadetes bacterium partial 16S ribosomal RNA
Rfam family: Bacterial small subunit ribosomal RNA
Source: RNAcentral